This 373-nucleotide ribosomal RNA is filed under the name uncultured bacterium. RNAcentral describes it as "bacterial SSU rRNA". It matches the Rfam family "Bacterial small subunit ribosomal RNA", at positions 527 to 898 of the family's 1533-position model. The record is from RNAcentral.
GAAGGGUGCAAGCGUUAAUCGGAAUUACUGGGCGUAAAGCGUGCGUAGGUGGUUUCUUAAGUCUGCUGUGAAAGCCCUGGGCUCAACCUGGGAAUGGCGGUGGAUACUGAGGAGCUAGAGUGCGGUAGAGGAGGGUGGAAUUCCCGGUGUAGCGGUGAAAUGCGUAGAGAUCGGGAGGAACAUCAGUGGCGAAGGCGGCCCUCUGGACCAGCACUGACGCUGAGGCACGAAAGCGUGGGGAGCAAACAGGAUUAGAUACCCUGGUAGUCCACGCCCUAAACGAUGCGGACUGGACGUUGGGCACAAUUCGGUGCUCAGUGUCGAAGCUAACGCGUUAAGUCCGCCGCCUGGGGAGUACGCUCGCAAGAGUGAA